Molecule: ribosomal RNA, 474 nt
Filed under: Triticum aestivum (bread wheat)
Lineage: Eukaryota; Viridiplantae; Streptophyta; Magnoliopsida; Poales; Poaceae
Description: partial small subunit ribosomal RNA
Source: RNAcentral
AUGCCAGGACAAAGGAAAAAGAACAAUGACAGGAGGAGAGAAGAGGGUGAAGCACCAAAGGGUAAGAAAUUGAGCAAGCAUGGCAUUCAGAUAACUUGUGGAUCUUGUGGAGGUAAGGGACACAAUAAAACUUCUUGUUCUAAAAAUGGAGAUAGUACCAAAAAAACAAAGUCACAUCUUGGAAAGAGAGGGAGAAAACAGAGAGCCACAGAGCAAGCACAAACAGAUGCAUCAACACGCAGGGCUACAACAUCUAGUUUUCAAGCUGCUGGAUCAAGCUCUCAAGCUACAGCAUCGAGCUUCAGACCACCCAGAGUGACUACAAGUUCAGCUGGCAGAGGGAGAGGGAGAGGAGCUGGGAGAGGGACAUCAUCUGGGAGAGGGACAGCAGCUGGGAGAGGGACAGGAGCUGGAAGAGGGACUGGAUCAGCUUCUGGAUUCAUGCCCUUUUUCACAGCUAGUGGGAAUUACUAG